GUUUGACCAACUUGGAAAUUUCAAAAUUUAUUAAAUUUUAUGAAAAUCACGAGUAUUUAAAACUGUAUAAACUUUUUGAAUUUAUUUGCAAUUUUUUCAAUGCAAAUUUUUGAGUCAUGCGAUCAUAAAAAUUUUGAAGGUGUAGACAUACAAUACACUGAAAAACUAAUUGAUAUGGCCAAUAUGGACUUAUUAACUUGUGUUCGGACACGAAAUUUCGAAAAAAUUAUGAAAAAUUAUCGGGAAGAUACUAAAAAUAGUCAUAGAAAUGAAGAAAUACUCGACUGUUUCAGCGCGUUUUAUUCAGCAAAACUUUCAAACCAUUGUUUCUGAGCGAACAAUUCAGCGAAGAAUCCGAGAAGAAGGUUAGCCACUACAAAACCAGAAAGCAUUUCAUCAGCAAAAAUAAAUUGAGGACGCGAUUGGAAUUUUCAAAAAAGUAUCAAAUGCCGCCAAGGUUUUGGAAAAUAGUUAUUUGGAGUAAUGAGAGCAAAUUUGAAUAUAAACAUACGAAAAGCAGAGAAAAAGUUUGGCGAAAGAGUCAUAAGAGGCUCCAAAGUAAUAACAACCAAAUCAUCAAAAAUUUCGAAAGUGGAAAUGAUUUAGUUUGGUGUUGCUUUAGCUACAGUAGUCUAUCAAAUCUGGUAAUGUUCGAAGCCAAAUGACGGAAGAGUCCUACGUUCUGAUGUUGAGUUAGAGCACGCAGCGCAUAAAAUGGACUAAAAAGAUAACUUUAUACAUAUACGAGCAGGACAAACAUACAUGUCGGGUUGCAAGUUGCGAAAGACUAUUUCGAUCAAAAAUCGAUCGAGCUCCUACCAUGCCUGCCCAAAGCCCUGACUUAAAUCCUAUUGAGCAUUUAUGGUAAUAUUUAGAUAAUAAGCUCGACCGAUAUUCUUGUCGUUAAAUUAAAAUAGGUUGAAGGACUCCUGGGAAUACAUAUCUGCACUUGGUAGACAGCAUGCCUCGAAGUCUUCUCGCUGUAAUUUAGGCUAAAGGUGGCAACACUAAAUAUUGAAGCUCUAUUUAGAAACUAAUCUGAUAAUAUAUAGGAGUAUGCAUUAGUGUCCGACCGCUACCCAAUUUUUGCCCGAUGCCGAUUCCAAUUAAUCGGCCAGUUGUCAAUUCUUUCAUUAACAAAUUUAUUUAGUACACUAGUAUAGUAACAUAACAAAGCAAGUUGUUACAUCAGAAAUAGCUUGUUUGGGAGACUCUUUUGCAUGCACCUCAUAGUCCAGACCAGCACCAAAUGAUUAUUACCUGUUCCUGUCUAUGGUGAAUGAUAUUGAUUAUAGAAAUUCGUCUAAAGAAACGUUUAAAAAUAGUAUUAACUCAAAAGAAGUAGAAAGAAUCGGCUAAGAAUCGGCCAAAUAUGGCCGAUGCCGAUGCCAAGGCCGAAUGAUCGGUCGGACUCUAGUAUGUAUACUUUUGUCGUUGUGAAAUAUUCCCUUUUUCAGACCACAUUGCCCGUUCCUGAUUCCCUGAUCGUGUAUUUCAAAAUCAUCUAACAAUAUAUGAGUUUGAAUUCGAAGAGUGAAAUUCGGAAAAGUGGUAUCGUCAUGGGGAUUCCAAUUAAGUCUAGUAUUUACAUAAAAUCGUGUUCCCUAGCAAGAUUUGAUCGUGCAGCGGAAUCAUUUCAGCACUUCCUUCAACACUUUUGCGAGACAACGAUUGAAGGAUCUUCGCGCUUACUUUUCCACAUGAACAUGUGUUUAACUGGCUAAAUGUAGCCAUCCACAGCUAACCUAACUAGCAAAUACUCAACUCCGUCCGAAGGGUUAGAUUGCCUCAUAUAACGUUUAUUCGUCGUUUAUAUAAUAAAAAAUGGUAUCGAACAAAACGAUUAAAUCUGCACAUGUGAGACGUGAUCCUUUUUCCAGCACCUCCUGUCAUUGAACAUGUUACUUUUUGUUUAAUUGUUGUUUGUAAGGCAACAUAUUUAUAACUCAAUCUGCAAAAAGCUGGCGAAAGCGUAGAUAUAUUAAUUAAUCCAUUAAAAACAAAAACCUUCCGAUAAACAUGGAGCUUGAAAAGAAAUUCAUAAAAAAUGUAAAUUCACAAAAAUGCCAAGUAGUCGGCUAGACGGACGAACAAUACAUGCUCAUAAAAUGGCAACAAAAACUGUAAGUUGUUGUAAAAGCAGCCGCCAAAGUCUUAAGCGUAAUUGACAAGCAAUUGAAAUUAAAUAGCUUUGCAUCGCCACAAACAUAUGCACAUACAACACAAAAAUACAUCUGGCAAAUUAACAAAAACAAAAGUUAUGUUGGCAUUAGAAAGCGCUUAGAUGCAACAGCGGAGCGCCAGCAGCCGUAGCACCGCAUGUGGGCCGCGCUUGCUGGCAAUAAAUUAAGCGGCUGCGAAAGAGACCCGUGCUGGAUAACAAAAUACUUUGUUGGAGCCUUUUCUUUUGGCGAAAUUUACUAUACUUCGGUGGAGCGACCGUUACUUAAGUAAGCGGCAUCCACAAUGAGGUGUCGGGAUGAUAUUAGGCACAAGGCAAGGUAAGCUGGAGAAGAGUAUUCUUUAAAUAAGAGCUCACAUCAAAAAUUUGUGAGUGUAUCCGUAGUAAAAGUAUAAUCGAAGUGCUAUGAGGUAACGAAACUGAUCUGAGUUAGCAUGCGAAUAAGCUUUGGAAUCACAACUAAUUAGAUCUCAUUCAAAAUCAAAACAAAGCUAGAAACGAUAAAGAAAAUGUCAGGAAUAAGGUUUUGUUCACAAUUAUUGUUCAUUUAAGGAAAAUCAAUAGAAUUCCAAACCCUGAUGAUUUAAAUAAAAUAAUUGCAUUUUCUGUCACUCUUUAUUAUUUGCUUAUAUUAAAGAAUGUAAGAUUUGUUCAAAUUAAUUUUAACUGAAUG
This is a long non-coding RNA of Zeugodacus cucurbitae (melon fly), 2855 nucleotides long. RefSeq lists it as uncharacterized. Lineage: Eukaryota; Metazoa; Arthropoda; Insecta; Diptera; Tephritidae. The transcript has 3 exons. The record is from RefSeq and is a predicted model, not a curated record.